AUACGGAGGAUGCGAGCGUUAUCCGGAUUUAUUGGGUUUAAAGGGUGCGUAGGCGGUUUGUCAAGUCAGCGGUGAAACGCAAGGGCUUAACCCUUGACCUGCCGUUGAAACUGAUUGACUAGAAUGCGGAUGCUGUGGGAGGAAUGUGUGGUGUAGCGGUGAAAUGCAUAGAUAUCACACAGAACACCGAUUGCGAAGGCAUCUCACGAAUCAGUGAUUGACGCUGAGGCACGAAAGCGUGGGGAUCAAACAGGAUUAGAUUCCCUGGUAGUCCACGCAGUAAACGAUGAUGACUAACCGUCGGCGAUACACAGUCGGUGGCCAAGCGAAAGCGAUAAGUCAUCCGCCUGGGGAGUACGGUCGCAAGAGUGAAACUCAAAUGAAUUGGCGGGG
This 393-nucleotide ribosomal RNA is filed under the name uncultured bacterium. RNAcentral's name for it is "partial 16S ribosomal RNA". It matches the Rfam family "Bacterial small subunit ribosomal RNA", at positions 523 to 918 of the family's 1533-position model. The record is from RNAcentral.